UACAGAGGGUGCGAGCGUUGUCCGGAAUCACUGGGCGUAAAGGGCGCGUAGGUGGCGCUGCAAGUCGGUGGUGAAAGCUCGCCGCUUAACGGCGAGUCGGCCAUCGAAACUGCAGGGCUGGAGCACUGUAGGGGCAGAUGGAAUUCCGGGUGUAGCGGUGGAAUGCGUAGAGAUCCGGAAGAACACCAGUGGCGAAGGCGGUCUGCUGGGCAGUUGCUGACACUGAUGCGCGACAGCGUGGGGAUCAAACAGG
Molecule: ribosomal RNA, 253 nt
Filed under: uncultured bacterium
Lineage: Bacteria
Description: partial 16S ribosomal RNA
Rfam family: Bacterial small subunit ribosomal RNA
Source: RNAcentral